Molecule: long non-coding RNA, 446 nt
Organism: Lepidothrix coronata (blue-crowned manakin)
Lineage: Eukaryota; Metazoa; Chordata; Aves; Passeriformes; Pipridae
Exons: 4
Source: RefSeq, a predicted model, not a curated record
GAAAAGGUAUACAGUGAAACUGGAGGAAAUUUCCUUCUUCUUGGCAGCUGAUGUUCACAAGCUCAUCAACGAGGAGGCCACGAAUAUAAACCGAGCCCUGCUGGGUAAUGAGAGGGCAACUGCCAAGCUGCUCUUUAAUCUAAUGAAAUCAGAGCUUGAGAAGGAAAAAUCACAUAAAUUGAAAUGGCAAGAGAGAGUCAAGGACUGGAAGCUCAUCCAAAAGAACCGUGUAAUUCAGAGUUUCAGAGAAUUUAUGGCAAGUGAAGAAAUACAGAAUCCUCCAGCUGUGAAAGCAGAAAUGGAAGAUAUGAUAAAGGAGCAGACUGUACUCAGUGAGCGGAGACUGGGGGUUUUGCAGCACGUUGGCACCUUGUUGCCUCCAACAGACAUGAAAUCUGAGAUAAAUGAAUGGUACAGAACUUUGGAGAAUUUAAACCAAAGUUUAG